Long non-coding RNA from Marmota flaviventris (yellow-bellied marmot), 472 nucleotides. RefSeq lists it as uncharacterized. The record is from RefSeq and is a predicted model, not a curated record. NCBI's taxonomy places the organism in Eukaryota, Metazoa, Chordata, Mammalia, Rodentia, Sciuridae.
AGGAUUAAACCCAGGACUCAUGCAUGCCAGGCAAACAUACUACCACUGAUCCAUAUCCCCAGCCCUAGAAAUGCUAAUUUAAUGGAGAUCUGAAGGAUGAGCAUGCAUUAAGCAAAUGGAGAGAAGGAAACAUUUCAGACAGAAGGGACAACAUAUGCCAAGGCUUUGUGAUGGGAAACUCCACAGUGUAUUCAAGGAAUUAAAAGAAAGUCCAUACAUUGGAAUGAAGAGAGGAAGAAACAAAUCAUUAAGGGACAAGGCUGGGAAGGGAAACAGUCUCAUAUCUUCUGAGAGAAACAGAUCAUCAUGUCACGAACCCCUCUAACUCUCCAAUAAAAACAACACGAAAUCAACCAAGAUAGAGAAUGUGUCCUUAAUGCCCCACUUGGGACCUCUCUCCAGAGGAGCAUUGAUAGAGGCAAGCCUAUUUCAGGUGUAGAUGGACACAACACAAUGCCUUUUUAUGUGGUGC